UACGAAGGGGGCGAGCGUUGCUCGGAAUCACUGGGCGUAAAGGGCGCGUAGGCGGGUCUUUAAGUCAGGGGUGAAAUCCUGGAGCUCAACUCCAGAACUGCCUUUGAUACUGAAGAUCUUGAGUUCGGGAGAGGUGAGUGGAACUGCGAGUGUAGAGGUGAAAUUCGUAGAUAUUCGCAAGAACACCAGUGGCGAAGGCGGCUCACUGGCCCGAUACUGACGCUGAGGCACGAAAGCGUGGGGAGCAAACAGG
Molecule: ribosomal RNA, 253 nt
Filed under: uncultured bacterium
Lineage: Bacteria
Description: partial 16S ribosomal RNA
Rfam family: Bacterial small subunit ribosomal RNA
Source: RNAcentral